AUCCACAACCCUUGCAUUUAGUGAAGAACAAGACCAACAGCAGCUGAGUUUCGGCUGCGAGCAAGAUUAGUUUCGGCUACUAAGCUGAGUUUCGGCUACUCAAGACCAACAUCAGUGGUCUAAAGUAUGAUGAAUUCCAUAACAUUUUCUUUUUUUCUUUUUUUGGCUUUAAAACCAGUGGUCGUGUAUUUUCCCAAAGUGGGUGGGUCUCCCAGCAAAAUCCACAGUAGCAAAUUGCAGAAUGAUAGAUAUUUAUUGGUCAAGCACAACCCACAAGUUUUUGUGUUAAUUGAGAUACAAACUAAACUAAGUAUAUAAUUUGAACAACUCUUUAAAGAAGAAAAAAGUGGAGGACUUUUACAUUUAUAGCUGCUGAGGUUCGCUUUCAAGUGAUAAUUUACCAUCAACGAAGUGUAAAGCUGUCUACAACUGUGAUUGACUUUCAGAACUCAUGUGUAUAAUUCAACUGCUUGUUGUAUAAAUUUGUUUGUGUCAAAUGACAAAAUCUACAAAUUCUCCAGAGGGAAACUGACGACAAGUUUUAUCUCUGAAGCCAUUGAGCGCAAGACCAAGUUGGGAUGUCUUCCCUCUGUUGCUCUGUUGCUUUCGCAGGUGAAACGAAGAAACGAAGAGGAAGAAAGAUUUUAUUCUUCUCAAAAUAUCAUCAGAAACGUCGUCGUUUUGGAGUAUUCCAAAAAGAAAAAAAAAUAAUCAAAACGACG
Molecule: long non-coding RNA, 722 nt
Filed under: Citrus sinensis (sweet orange)
Lineage: Eukaryota; Viridiplantae; Streptophyta; Magnoliopsida; Sapindales; Rutaceae
Description: long non-coding RNA (CSIN_LNC000804)
Source: RNAcentral